GACGAACGCUGGCGGCGUGCUUAACACAUGCAAGUCGAACGGAAAGGCCCUGCUUGCAGGGUACUCGAGUGGCGAACGGGUGAGUAACACGUGGGUGAUCUGCCCUGCACUUCGGGAUAAGCUUGGGAAACUGGGUCUAAUACCGGAUAGGAGCCAUCUUUAGUGUGGUGGUUGGAAAGUUUUUUCGGUGUAGGAUGAGCUCGCGGCCUAUCAGCUUGUUGGUGGGGUAAUGGCCUACCAAGGCGGCGACGGGUAGCCGGCCUGAGAGGGUGUACGGCCACAUUGGAACUGAGAGACAGCCCAGACUCCUACGGGAGGCAGCAGUGGGGAAUAUUGCACAAUGCGCGCAAGCCUGAGGCAGCGACGCCGCGUGGGGGAUGAAGGCCUUCGGGUUGUAAACUCCUUUCGCUAGGGACGAAGCUUUGUUGUGACGGUACCUAGAUAAGAAGCACCGGCUAACUACGUG
This 466-nucleotide ribosomal RNA is filed under the name uncultured bacterium. Its description in RNAcentral is "partial 16S ribosomal RNA". It matches the Rfam family "Bacterial small subunit ribosomal RNA", at positions 28 to 507 of the family's 1533-position model. The record is from RNAcentral.